UGACGACAGGUCGGUGGUCUGCGUAAGCGC
RNAcentral lists this small RNA (30 nucleotides) under Bombyx mori (domestic silkworm). RNAcentral describes it as "piRNA piR-bmo-2002387". Lineage: Eukaryota; Metazoa; Arthropoda; Insecta; Lepidoptera; Bombycidae. The record is from RNAcentral.